CGGUAAUACGUAGGUGGCGAGCGUUGUCCGGAUUUACUGGGCGUAAAGAGCGCGCAGGCGGUCGUGCAAGUCGGAUGUGAAAGCCCCCGGCUCAACUGGGGAGGGUCAUUCGAUACUGCUCGACUCGAAGGCGGGAGAGGGAAGCGGAAUUCCCGGUGUAGUGGUGAAAUGCGUAGAUAUCGGGAGGAACACCAGUGGCGAAGGCGGCUUCCUGGCCCGUUCUUGACGCUGAGGCGCGAAAGCUAGGGGAGCGAACGGGAUUAGAUACCCCGGUAGUCCUAGCCGUAAACGAUGGACACUAGGUGUUGGUGGUAUCAACCCCGCCAGUGCCGAAGCUAACGCAUUAAGUGUCCCGCCUGGGGAGUACGGCCGCAAGGCUAAA
This 382-nucleotide ribosomal RNA is filed under the name uncultured bacterium. RNAcentral describes it as "bacterial SSU rRNA". It matches the Rfam family "Bacterial small subunit ribosomal RNA", at positions 518 to 898 of the family's 1533-position model. The record is from RNAcentral.